UGGCCACCGCAAAAGAGGCCUCCGUCGUCAACGGAGUUUGCGUGGUGGUGGGGGGCGGGGCGGGGGGCACUGGCACUGGUUCGUACUUCUCUCCACCUGUCACCAUCCUCGUUUUCCGUUUCAUUUUUCUUUCAUUCCAACUUGUUGUUGGAUCCAAUCACCCAAAUCUAGUCUCAAAUUCCAAGAUCCGCUGGUUAAUGUGAGUCCGAGGAGGAGAGGGGAGGAUCGAUCAAUCGCUUGAAAAGGAGAAAGAUCCGAAGAUGGGAGGAGUUGGGGAAAAUAUCAUGGUGAGCGCCUUGACAGGGGUGAUGAGCCCCGUCCUCGGCAAGCUCACUAAGCUUAUAGAGAAGAAGUACACCGAGCUCAAGAACCUGAGGAAGAAGCUGGAGCACCUCAGGGAGGAGCUGAUGGCCAUUAACCUCGCGCUGGAGAAGUACGCGGCUGUCGAGAGCCCGGGUGUGCAGGUGAAGGCCUGGAUGGCGGAGAUGCGCGAGAUGGCUUACGACAUGGAAGACAGCAUCGAUCUGUUCAGUCACCGCGUCGACUAUGAACCGGCUGACACCACCAGACUCAAGAGCUUCUUCCACAAGAAGAUCCGGAAGCUCAAGAAACUACACUACCGCUACAGGUUUGCUGAGGAGAUCAAAGAACUCCUUGCUAACGUCAAAGUAGCAGAGGAGCGUAGAAAGAGAUACAAGAUCGAAGAGGGCAGCUCUAGCAUCUCGCACACGGAGAUCGAUCCUCGGUUACAGGCACUCUAUGUGGAGGUGGAAGAACUCGUGGGCGUCGAAAAACCAAGCCAGGAGAUCAUUGUUCGGCUUGUCGACGAGAACCCAAAGGAGCGACGGAGGGUUGUCUCCAUCGUUGGACCUGGAGGUUCAGGCAAGACUACACUUGCUAAACAGGUGUACGAGAAAAUCAAAGGUCAAUUCUCUUGUGUAGCUUUUGUAUCGGUAUCGCAAAAGCCCAACAUAAAUAACCUUCUACGGGAGUUGCAUGUUCAAACUGGAGUUCCGAAGUCGAUGGCAAUGGGAUCUUGCAGCGAGCAACUACUCAUCGACCAGCUAAGAUCAUAUCUUAAAAAUACAAGGUAUCUUGUUGUGAUUGAUGACGUUUGGACAACGUUAGCAUGGGAAACCAUACAAUGUGCUCUUCCAAAAAAUGCGCGGACAAGUAGAAUAAUCAUAACAACACGCAACAACAGUGUAGGUCAGUUCUGCUGCACUUCAGAUGAGGGUUUCGUCUAUGAAAUGAAACCUCUUAGCAGAAGCGAUUCUGAAAAUUUAUUUCUCAAAAGGAUAUUCCGUGCUGAAGAUAAGUUUCCUGUUCAGCUGGAGGGGAUUAAAAAUCAGAUACUUGAAACAUGUGAUGGUUUGCCACUGGCUAUUGUUACUCUAGCUAGCUUGUUAGCUACUAAACCGAGAACAAAUGAAGAAUGGGAGAGGACACUUAAUUCUAUCAGCUAUAUGCAUGAAAAAGAUAGUGAGCUGGACAAAAUGUAUACGAUACUUUCUCUUAGUUACAACGAUCUACCUCGUCAUAUGAGGAAUUGCUUAUUGUCUCAGUACAUUUCCAGAGGAUCAUGAGAUUUACAAAGAUAUCUUGGUGUGGAGAUGGAUAGCUGAAGGAUUUAUCACUGAAAAACAAGGUUUUACUUUGGAGCAAGUUGCCGAGAGUUACUUUUAUGAGUUGAUAAAUAGGAAUUUGAUCCAGCCGAUAAACUUGGUUCCAAGAUAUGGGAUGAAUGCAGUAGAAGAAGGAUGCCGAGUCCACGAUAUCGUACUGAACUUCCUCAUCUCUCGAUCAGCUGAAGAAAAUUUUGUAACUAUGUUGGAUAACCAGGGCCUUCCAUCUUCAGAUCGAAGGAUUCGUCGGCUCUCUGUCUGGUACAAUCCAGUACAUGCUGUAGCAGUCUUUCGAGGAACCAUGAAUCUGUCUCAUCUCCGUUCAGUUAGUAUAUGCAAUGUUGGAGGUUGGACGAUGCCUCCUGUUUUGGACCUACCUGUUCUUCGGGUGUUAGAUCUAUAGGAAUAUGAUGAUUCGUGGCUUGUUGAUCAUGAUGGCUUUUUAAGUUUAUUUCAUCUGAGGCAUCUAAUGUUCAGCAUGGCAAGUGGUGGUACGCUACCGGCCCAAAUCGGGUAUCGGACUUUUGAUCCUGAUUGCAUUUUAAGUUUAUUUCAUCUAAGAUAUCUGAGGUUCGGUGGAGGACGUGGUGCCAUGCUAACGGCCCAAAUUGGGAACCUACAGUACCUGCAGACCCUCGAUUUAACUGGAGCUAAAGUAACAAAACUUCCAGGAAGUAUUGUUCAUCUCAAGCGGCUGAUGUGUCUUGUUGGGUACCAACUCAUCAUGCCAGAUGGUUUUGGUAACAUGGAAUCCCUUCAGGAAUUAGGGAAUCUUGAUGGCUGCAACUGUUCCAUAAGUUUUGGGGAAGAUCUAGCACUUUUGAGCAAGUUAAGGGUGCUCCGAGUGACGUUCAUGUGGGGCAGCACAACUGAUCUGAGAACUAGAAGGGAAUCUUUGUUGUCAUCCCUCUGCAAACUUGGAGGAAACAGCCUUCGCUGUGUCUACAUUUAUGACAACGUUGGCGGUGGAGAUUGUUUUGUGGAUUCAUGGUGCCCUCCUCCAUGCCGCCUCCAAAAGUUUAUUCAUAUCAGUAAAUACCUGAGGUUUCCAAAGUGGAUUAAUUCCUGCCUCUGUGAUCUAACGUACUUGGAUAUACUUGUUCAAAAGAUGGAGAAGGAAUAUCUACGUAUUCUUGAAGAUUUACCUGCCAUUCGUUUCCUAUACCUUGACGUGAAGCAAGUUUCAGAUGAUGGCCUCUUCAUCAGUCACGGUGCAUUCCCAUGUCUAACAUGCUUCCAAUUCUAUAAUAUCGAUGGACCUGGUUUGAUAUUUGAAGGAGGCAUGCCAAUGCUAGAAUGGCUUAGGCUCGGAUUCGACGCAGACAAAGCACAAUCAACAUACGGCAGUUUAGAGGUUGGCAUUGGGCACCUCUCAUCUGUCAGACGUAUCGGUCUCACCAUCCGAAUGAUAUCUCAAGGUGAAAAUGAUCCGGUGGAGAAGGCCGUCAAAUCUAUCAUCAAUGGCCAAGUGCAGAUGCUUCCCAACUGUCCCACGGUUGACAUCGGAUUUAGUAGACGAAGGCUGCCGGCAGGAAGAGAAAGGCCAUGAAGAAGAUGCAAUUACAGCCUGUGUCUGUCUUGUGGUAUGUGUACUGUACUAUGUCUAUGUUGCUUCUGUGGUUUGUGCUUGUUGCCAAACUGGGAAGAUUGUGUUGCGUUUAGGUUAGCUGAGACAUUGUCCUAGCAGAGAAAUUAAAACAUACAACCACUAGUAGACAAGUUGAUUAAAAAGAUAGCGAGUUGAAGAGUGAAAUUGUUGUCACAUAGGCUGUGUUUGGUAGGGUCAUUUACUCUUCAAAGACUGCUUCAUGAAUUGGUUGGUUCAGCACAUUUCGAGAAUCUGCAUGUCAGGCAAAUGAUAAUCUCACUGCUUUUGUGCAGAAUU
This is an RNA transcript of Panicum virgatum (switchgrass), 3510 nucleotides long. It is a transcript of the gene named disease resistance protein RGA5-like, with no coding region annotated. The transcript has 2 exons. The record is from RefSeq and is a predicted model, not a curated record. NCBI's taxonomy places the organism in Eukaryota, Viridiplantae, Streptophyta, Magnoliopsida, Poales, Poaceae.